Molecule: unclassified non-coding RNA, 335 nt
Filed under: soil metagenome
Description: partial contains 5.8S ribosomal RNA, internal transcribed spacer 2, and large subunit ribosomal RNA
Rfam family: 5.8S ribosomal RNA (bases 1-120)
Source: RNAcentral
GAUGAAGAACGCAGCGAAAUGCGAUAAGUAAUGUGAAUUGCAGAAUUCAGUGAAUCAUCGAAUCUUUGAACGCACAUUGCGCCCGCCAGUAUUCUGGCGGGCAUGCCUGUUCGAGCGUCAUUUCAACCAUCAAGCCCCAGGCUUGUGUUGGGGACCUGCGGCUGCCGCAGGCCCUGAAAACCAGUGGCGGGCUCGCUGUCACACCGGGCGUAGUAGAUUUUAUCUCGCUCAGGGCGUGCUGCGGGUUCCGGCCGUUAAAAGCCUUUUUUACCCAAGGUUGACCUCGGAUCAGGUAGGAAUACCCGCUGAACUUAAGCAUAUCAAUAAGCGGAGGA